GGUGGUUCAGUGGUAGAAUCCUCACCUUCCAUGCGGGAGACCCGGGUUCAAUUCCCGGCC
RNAcentral lists this transfer RNA (60 nucleotides) under Loxodonta africana (African savanna elephant). It matches the Rfam family "tRNA", at positions 6 to 65 of the family's 71-position model. From Rfam's summary of the family: Transfer RNA (tRNA) molecules are approximately 80 nucleotides in length. Their secondary structure includes four short double-helical elements and three loops (D, anti-codon, and T loops). Further hydrogen bonds mediate the characteristic L-shaped molecular structure. tRNAs have two regions of fundamental functional importance: the anti-codon, which is responsible for specific mRNA codon recognition, and the 3' end, to which the tRNAs corresponding amino acid is attached (by aminoacyl-tRNA synthetases). tRNAs cope with the degeneracy of the genetic code in two manners: having more than one tRNA (with a specific anti-codon) for a particular amino acid; and 'wobble' base-pairing, i.e. permitting non-standard base-pairing at the 3rd anti-codon position. The record is from Rfam by way of RNAcentral. Lineage: Eukaryota; Metazoa; Chordata; Mammalia; Proboscidea; Elephantidae.